UACGGAGGGGGCUAGCGUUGUUCGGAAUGACUGGGCGUAAAGCGCGCGUAGGCGGAUUGGCAAGUUGGGGGUGAAAUCCCGGGGCUCAACCUCGGAAUGGCCUUCAAGACUGCCGGUCUUGAGUUCGAGAGAGGUGAGUGGAAUUCCGAGUGUAGAGGUGAAAUUCGUAGAUAUUCGGAGGAACACCAGUGGCGAAGGCGGCUCACUGGCUCGACACUGACGCUGAGGUGCGAAAGCGUGGGGAGCAAACAGG
Molecule: ribosomal RNA, 253 nt
Filed under: uncultured bacterium
Lineage: Bacteria
Also listed under: 2 other names
Description: partial 16S ribosomal RNA
Rfam family: Bacterial small subunit ribosomal RNA
Source: RNAcentral